Molecule: long non-coding RNA, 782 nt
Filed under: Mus caroli (Ryukyu mouse)
Lineage: Eukaryota; Metazoa; Chordata; Mammalia; Rodentia; Muridae
Description: lncRNA (MGP_CAROLIEiJ_G0002766.1)
Source: RNAcentral
AUGGUUGUCCAGCCUGCCUUCCCCGAGAUGCUGAGCAAGGCCGCCUGGCCCUGCCUCCAGUACUUCGCCUGACAAAGGUGACCUCAGUGACUCUGUCCCUGACUCUGCCCCUUGUGAUGACCCCACCACUGACCCGCAGGCCUUGGAGGGGCUGAUCCUGGAGAAGCCAAAGGACCAGGAGGACACCAUGGGGGUGCUGCUCAGGCUGAGUGGGAAACAGAGCAGUACAGCUUCAUCAUGAGGGUAGCCAUUGUCAUCUGGGGCAUCCACGGGGGCCCUGCUCAGGAAGUGGGCACCUUCCAUGAGGAAACGUGUAUGACUUUCUCUCCACGGUAGGAGGAGCUGAUCCAUGACUACUUGGACACCAGCUAAGGAUGCUGGAAGAAAAGUGUUUUGAAACUGACCCUACAGAUAAAAAGAGUUCAUUGUGAAUGCGAUACCCUCCUAUACUGUUGUCAGAAGCAACCCUCCAUCUCCAACUCCAAAAAUAAAUGAAAACCAAACCACACAGUUGGAAAUCAGCAAGAAGAGAACGGAUGGUGGAUGGCAGCAGAUGGACAGGAGAGCGCUCAGCAGCACUUGCUCUUCCAGCCCGUCACGCCUCCUCCACUGCUGAUAUCUACGUUUUCACUGUUGGGUUCUUUUACAGGGGUCUGCAACAACACAAGGAAGCAAGCAACCCGUGAGAAAACACUGGCAUGGAUGAAAACAGACUCACUGGAAAGACACAAAGCAAUGUCAGGUUACACAACAAAAGGCAAUUACAGUCAUAUGAGGGGGUG